GCCCGCCUAGCUCAAUCGGAUAGAGCGUCAGACUCUUACUGAGGCGGAUGGAGAUGGAGAUUACAUCCAACUGUCAACUGUAAUCUGAAGGCUGCGAGUUCGACCCUCGCGGUGGGCU
This is a non-coding RNA of Russula brevipes, 118 nucleotides long. The record is from the annotation of a GenBank genome assembly. NCBI's taxonomy places the organism in Eukaryota, Fungi, Basidiomycota, Agaricomycetes, Russulales, Russulaceae.